This 813-nucleotide ribosomal RNA is filed under the name Hypoxylon perforatum. Its description in RNAcentral is "partial large subunit ribosomal RNA". It matches the Rfam family "Eukaryotic large subunit ribosomal RNA", at positions 77 to 916 of the family's 3401-position model. The record is from RNAcentral. Lineage: Eukaryota; Fungi; Ascomycota; Sordariomycetes; Xylariales; Hypoxylaceae.
GCCCUAGUAACGGCGAGUGAAGCGGCAACAGCUCAAAUUUGAAAUCUGGCCCUCGGGUCCGAAUUGUAAUUUGUAGAGGAUGCUUUUGGUGCGGUGCCUUCCGAGUUCCCUGGAACGGGACGCCAGAGAGGGUGAGAGCCCCGUACGGUUGGACACCUACCCUAUAUAUAGCUCCUUCGACGAGUCGAGUAGUUUGGGAAUGCUGCUCUAAAUGGGAGGUAAAUUUCUUCUAAAGCUAAAUACCGGCCAGAGACCGAUAGCGCACAAGUAGAGUGAUCGAAAGAUGAAAAGCACUUUGAAAAGAGGGUUAAAUAGCACGUGAAAUUGUUGAAAGGGAAGCGUUUGUGACCAGACUUUUUCUUAGUGGAUCAUCCGGUGUUCUCACCGGUGCACUUCACUGGGUUUAGGCCAGCAUCGGUUUCCGGAGGGGGACAAAAGCAUGGGGAAUGUGGCUCUUUCGGGAGUGUUAUAGCCCCUAGCAUAAUACCUCUCCUGGGGACCGAGGACCGCGCUUCGGCAAGGAUGCUGGCGUAAUGGUUAUCAACGACCCGUCUUGAAACACGGACCAAGGAGUCGAACAUUUGUGCGAGUGUUUGGGUAUCAAACCCUCACGCGUAAUGAAAGUGAACGGAGGUGAGAGCCCCUCGGGGUGCAUCAUCGACCGAUCCUGAUGUCUUCGGAUGGAUUUGAGUAAGAGCAUAACUGUUCGGACCCGAAAGAUGGUGAACUAUGCGUGGAUAGGGUGAAGCCAGAGGAAACUCUGGUGGAGGCUCGCAGCGGUUCUGACGUGCAAAUCGAUCGUCAAAUCUGCGC